AUUGAACGCUGGCGGCAUGCUUUACACAUGCAAGUCGAACGGAUUUUGGAGCUUGCUCCAGAGUUAGUGGCGAACGGGUGAGUAAUAUAUCGGAACGUACCCGGCAAUGGGGGAUAACGUAGCGAAAGUUACGCUAAUACCGCAUAUGCCCUGAGGGGGAAAGCAGGGGACCAGUAAUGGCCUUGCGUUGUCGGAGCGGCCGAUAUCGGAUUAGCUAGUUGGUGAGGUAAAGGCUCACCAAGGCGACGAUCCGUAGCGGGUCUGAGAGGAUGAUCCGCCACACUGGGACUGAGACACGGCCCAGACUCCUACGGGAGGCAGCAGUGGGGAAUUUUGGACAAUGGGCGAAAGCCUGAUCCAGCCAUGCCGCGUGAGUGAAGAAGGCCUUCGGGUUGUAAAGCUCUUUCAGGUGGAAAGAAAAGGUUACGGAUAAUACCUGUAACUGAUGACGGUACCAUCAGAAGAAGCACCGGCUAACUACGUGCCAGCCGCCGCCGUAA
This 500-nucleotide ribosomal RNA is filed under the name uncultured bacterium. RNAcentral describes it as "partial 16S ribosomal RNA". It matches the Rfam family "Bacterial small subunit ribosomal RNA", at positions 30 to 523 of the family's 1533-position model. The record is from RNAcentral.